Molecule: ribosomal RNA, 400 nt
Filed under: Sarocladium strictum
Lineage: Eukaryota; Fungi; Ascomycota; Sordariomycetes; Hypocreales; Sarocladiaceae
Description: partial small subunit ribosomal RNA
Rfam family: Eukaryotic small subunit ribosomal RNA
Source: RNAcentral
GCUUGUCUCAAAGAUUAAGCCAUGCAUGUCUAAGUAUAAGCACCCUUAUACGUCGAAACUGCGUACAGCUCAUUAUAUCAGCAAUUAUUUAUUUGAAGGUCACUAAUUACAUGGAUAACCGUGGUAAUUCUAGAGCUAAUACAUGCGAAAAAUCCCGGCGCAAGUCGGGAUGUAUUUAUUAGAUACAAAACCAAUGCCCUUCGGGGCUCCUUGGUGAUUCAUGAUAACUAUACGAAUCGCACGGCCUUGCGCCGGCGAUGGUUCAUUCAAAUUUCUUCCCUAUCAACUUUCGAUGUUUGGGUAUUGGCCAAACAUGGUUGCAACGGGUAACGGAGGGUUAGGGCUCGACCCCGGAGAAGGAGCCUGAGAAACGGCUACUACAUCCAAGGAAGGCAGCAGG